AGAAAAAGGACGGUACCCCAUGAAUAAGUCCCGGCUAACUACGUGCCAGCAGCCGCGGUAAAACGUAGGGGACAAGCGUUAUCCGGAUUCACUGGGCGUAAAGAGCGUUGAGGCGGUUCCGUAAGUUGGGCGUGAAAGCUCCGGGCUUAACCCGGAGAUGUCGUUCAAUACUGCGGGGCUUGAGGACAGCAGAGGAAGGUGGAAUUCCCGGUGUAGUGGUGAAAUGCGUAGAUAUCGGGAGGAACACCCGUGGCGAAGGCGGCCUUCUGGGCUGUUCCUGACGCUGAAGGCGAAAGCUAGGGGAGCGAACGGGAUUAGAUACCCCGGUAGUCCUAGCUGUAAACGAUGGAUGCUGGGUGUGGGGGGUGUAAAUUCCCUCUGUGCCGAAGCAAACGCGUUAAGCAUCCCGCCUGGGGACUACGGCCGCAAGGCUAAAACUCAAACGAAUUGACGGGGGCCCGCACAAGCAGCGGAGCGUGUGGUUUAAUUCGAUGCUACACGAAGAACCUUACCUGGGUUUGACAUGCACGUGGUAGGGAACCGAAAGGGGACCGACCUUCGGGAGCGUGCACAGGUGCUGCAUGGCUGUCGUCAGCUCGUGCCGUGAGGUGUCGGGUUAAGUCCCGUAACGAGCGCAACCCUUGCCCUUAGUUACAAGUGUCUAAGGGGACUGCCCGGGACAACUGGGAGGAAGGUGGGGAUGACGUCAAGUCAGCAUGGCCUUUAUAUCCAGGGCUACACACACGCUACAAUGGCCAGUGCAAUAGGUAGCCAAGUCGUGAGACGGAGCCAAUCCUUAAAGCUGGUCUCAGUUCGAAUUGCAGUCUGCAACUCGACUGCAUGAAGC
This 847-nucleotide ribosomal RNA is filed under the name uncultured organism. RNAcentral describes it as "bacterial SSU rRNA". It matches the Rfam family "Bacterial small subunit ribosomal RNA", at positions 463 to 1326 of the family's 1533-position model. The record is from RNAcentral.